Molecule: unclassified non-coding RNA, 218 nt
Filed under: Hevea brasiliensis (rubber tree)
Lineage: Eukaryota; Viridiplantae; Streptophyta; Magnoliopsida; Malpighiales; Euphorbiaceae
Source: RNAcentral
UAGGAUAUCUACACAAUGCUGAUGAGAUGGACGCUUUCAAAAUCUCUCCAACACCUUCCACUCCAAGCUUAACUGAGAUGUAAAAAGCCUCAGGUGCAUUGGCGAGAGUGAACAGGGUUGCAAGGGGUUGUAUCUCAUCAUCACCAUAUUCCAUAAUUCCAGUUGUAAUGCAAGAUUCAUUUAUUUGAUGCAAAACAUAAUCAAAAAGCACCAGAAAG